CCUACGGGUGGCAGCAGUGGGGAAUAUUGGACAAUGGGCGAAAGCCUGAUCCAGCCAUGCCGCGUGUGCGAAGAAGGCCUUCGGGUUGUAAAGCACUUUCAGUGGGGAAGAAAGCCUUGGGGCUAAUACCCUCGAGGAAGGACAUCACCCACAGAAGAAGCACCGGCUAACUCCGUGCCAGCAGCCGCGGUAAUACGGAGGGUGCGAGCGUUAAUCGGAAUUACUGGGCGUAAAGCGCGCGUAGGCGGUCUGAUAAGCCGGUUGUGAAAGCCCCGGGCUCAACCUGGGAACGGCAUCCGGAACUGUCAGGCUAGAGUGCAGGAGAGGAAGGUAGAAUUCCCGGUGUAGCGGUGAAAUGCGUAGAGAUCGGGAGGAAUACCAGUGGCGAAGGCGGCCUUCUGGACUGACACUGACGCUGAGGUGCGAAAGCGUGGGUAGCAAACAGGAUUAGAUACCCGUGUAGUC
Molecule: ribosomal RNA, 465 nt
Filed under: Vreelandella stevensii
Lineage: Bacteria; Pseudomonadati; Pseudomonadota; Gammaproteobacteria; Oceanospirillales; Halomonadaceae
Description: partial 16S ribosomal RNA
Rfam family: Bacterial small subunit ribosomal RNA
Source: RNAcentral